CGCAGUAACAACGAAUGGCAGGAAGUCAGCCGAGGCCAUAGUAACGAGGAAGUCCCUGUAAUGGGGAUGGAGUGAAGGGC
Molecule: non-coding RNA, 80 nt
Organism: Faecalibaculum rodentium
Lineage: Bacteria; Bacillati; Bacillota; Erysipelotrichia; Erysipelotrichales; Erysipelotrichaceae
Source: Rfam